CUCAUCUAGGUGUUGAAGAUUGCAUAAGAAGUCUUAUGCCUCGCAACCUUGUUAGAAGUAUCGAAGGAUUCGUUCAACAUUUAAAGUAUUUCCUCCAGCAGAGCAUCCUAAAAUUUGUGGCUGAACUCAUCGUUCAUAGCCGUCCGCAUAAUACAACGAAUCAUAGUUCGAUCAUUGAGCCACUUUUGAUAAGUAUCUUGGACUGCAC
Molecule: long non-coding RNA, 208 nt
Filed under: Elaeis guineensis (African oil palm)
Lineage: Eukaryota; Viridiplantae; Streptophyta; Magnoliopsida; Arecales; Arecaceae
Description: long non-coding RNA (EGUI_LNC053625)
Source: RNAcentral